CCUGCGGGCACUCGAAGUGGCCGCACCCAUCCGUGACCCCGCCCCCGGUGGACUCUGGGACCUGCUGCUGUUCUGACUUCUCGGCGCGACCGAGGCGCUGCGGGGUCGCAGUCAAACGUGGGUGUCGGGCCAGGCGCAGAACCGAACACAGGUCCCGCCUCCCUAACCUUUGGCCUCUGGCCUGCGAGUGCAGGAGAGGCCAUGAGGCGGCGCCCGGGAGGAGCUGACCUGGCAGGAAGUUCAGCCUGGGUGGCCCGGGAAGGGGAAGAGGCCGCGUCGCCCCAGGCUCUCAGGGACCGGGCUGGGCCGUGCGCCAGGCCCGCUUCCCCUCCACCCCUGUCCAGGUGUUGCUACCACCUACUUCCCUCGUCUCGAUCUGGGACAGAGCCUGGCCGAGGUGGAGACCUGGCUCCCACUCUGACAGGUAACCACAGAAACAGCUGUGCACGCGGAGCCCGGCGCCCCUGUUGUGCUGAGACAGAGCCAUCUUUACAGCGGCGUCUCUAGGGAGAAACUCCAAUCCCUCCUUCAAAUUCUCCACAAAAAGCUCUGUGAGCGAGUGAACUCCUGGUACACUUGAAGCUGCUGCGCACUCGGUGGCAGAGUACCUGAUCCCCGCCCCCAGCUUCCGGACCCCUCUCUUUCCCUCCCUGUCUCCUGAGGACAGAAUGGCAAAACCAAAACCACCGGAAGCUCCUCUCCCAGCUGGCCCUGCUGUGAGAACAAACGAAAUAAUAUCUGAGAGGGUUAGCAGUGCCCUGCUGCUGCGGGUACGUUAGGCACUACCGCAUGGUAGUGCCAGCCUAUAAUUCCAGCACCCAGAGGCUGAGACAGGAGGGUUGCUGCAAGUUCGAGCCCAGCCUGGGCUUCAUAAUGAGUUCACGAACAGCCUGGAUGACAUGGUG
RNAcentral lists this long non-coding RNA (905 nucleotides) under Fukomys damarensis (Damara mole-rat). RNAcentral's name for it is "lncRNA (ENSFDAG00000033297.1)". The record is from RNAcentral. Lineage: Eukaryota; Metazoa; Chordata; Mammalia; Rodentia; Bathyergidae.